This 429-nucleotide ribosomal RNA is filed under the name Chloroflexota bacterium. RNAcentral's name for it is "Chloroflexi bacterium partial 16S ribosomal RNA". It matches the Rfam family "Bacterial small subunit ribosomal RNA", at positions 355 to 776 of the family's 1533-position model. Lineage: Bacteria; Bacillati; Chloroflexota. The record is from RNAcentral.
UGGGGAAUAUUGCACAAUGGGCGCAAGCCUGAUGCAGCCAUGCCGCGUGUAUGAAGAAGGCCUUCGGGUUGUAAAGUACUUUCAGCGGGGAGGAAGGGAGUAAAGUUAAUACCUUUGCUCAUUGACGUAACCCGCAGAAGAAGCACCGGCUAACUCCGUGCCAGCAGCCGCGGUAAUACGGAGGGUGCAAGCGUUAAUCGGAAUUACUGGGCGUAAAGCGCACGCAGGCGGUUUGUUAAGUCUGAUGUGAAAGCCCCCGGCUCAACCGGGGAGGGUCAUUGGAAACUGGGAGACUUGAGUGCAGAAGAGGAGAGUGGAAUUCCAUGUGUAGCGGUGAAAUGCGUAGAUAUAUGGAGGAACACCAGUGGCGAAGGCGGCUCUCUGGUCUGUAACUGACGCUGAGGCUCGAAAGCGUGGGGAGCAAACAGG